Molecule: ribosomal RNA, 309 nt
Filed under: uncultured bacterium
Lineage: Bacteria
Description: bacterial SSU rRNA
Rfam family: Bacterial small subunit ribosomal RNA
Source: RNAcentral
AUUGAACGCUGGCGGCAUGCCUUACACAUGCAAGUCGAACGGCAGCACGGGAGCAAUCCUGGUGGCGAGUGGCGAACGGGUGAGUAAUAUAUCGGAACGUGCCCAGUCGUGGGGAUAACGUAGCGAAGCUACGCUAAUACCGCAUACGAUCUAUGGAUGAAAGCGGGGGAUCGCAGACCUCGCGCGAUUGGAGCGGCCGAUAUCAGAUUAGGUAGUUGGUGAGGUAAAGGCUCACCAAGCCGACGAUCUGUAGCUGGUCUGAGAGGACGACCAGCCACACUGGGACUGAGACACGGCCCAGACUCCUAC